UUUCAAUUUUUAUCGGUGUUUGACUGAUCUAGAGAUAGUGAAAUUGAAUUGGCAUAUAAUCGAUCUAGAAAUAGUUGGAGCUGGUCGAUGUUUGGUAGAUCGAGAGAUGGUCACUCAUGGAUUUUGAUCCGAUCGGUAUCUAGCUGAUUUAGAGAAUGAUCAGAUCUGAUCGGCAUCUGAUCGAUUUGAAGAUGGUUGGAUCUGAUCGAUAUUUGAUUGAUCGAGAGAUGGUCGCUCUCUAAUUUCAAUCAGGUUGUAUCUGGUCAAUCUUUAGAAUCAUCGGAUUUGAUCGGUAUUUGGCCAAUCUAGAGAUAUAUGAUUGAAUUUAGUCGGCGUCUGGUC
RNAcentral lists this long non-coding RNA (342 nucleotides) under Elaeis guineensis (African oil palm). Its description in RNAcentral is "long non-coding RNA (EGUI_LNC025086)". The record is from RNAcentral. Lineage: Eukaryota; Viridiplantae; Streptophyta; Magnoliopsida; Arecales; Arecaceae.